Molecule: ribosomal RNA, 469 nt
Filed under: uncultured bacterium
Lineage: Bacteria
Description: bacterial SSU rRNA
Rfam family: Bacterial small subunit ribosomal RNA
Source: RNAcentral
UGCCAGACUCCUACGGGAGGCAGCAGUGAGGAAUAUUGGUCAAUGGGCGGGAGCCUGAACCAGCCAAGUCGCGUGAGGGAAGACGGUCCUAUGGAUUGUAAACCUCUUUUGUCGGGGAGCAAAGAGGCCACGUGUGGUCAAAAGCGAGAGUACCCGAAGAAAAAGCAUCGGCUAACUCCGUGCCAGCAGCCGCGGUCAUACGUAGGAUCCGAGCAUUAUCCGGAGUGACUGGGUGUAAAGAGUUGCGUAGGUGGCAUAGUAAGUAGCUAGUGAAAUCUGGUGGCUCAACCAUUCAGACUAUUAGCUAAACUGCUAAGCUCGAGACCGUUAGGGGUAACUGGAAUUUCUAGUGUAGGAGUGAAAUCCGUAGAUAUUAGAAGGAACACCGAUAGCGUAGGCAGGUUACUGGGACGGUUCUGACACUAAGGCACGAAAGCGUAGGGAGCAAACGGGAUUAGAUACCCCAGUA